This 26-nucleotide non-coding RNA is filed under the name Homo sapiens (human). The record is from RNAcentral. Lineage: Eukaryota; Metazoa; Chordata; Mammalia; Primates; Hominidae.
UGAUCAGCAGAAUGGGACAUACGUGG